UCACACCCACCUUAGUAGCGUAGCUGAUAGUUUAAUCGUUUUACGGGAUCGUGGUAGCUGGAAGACAUAUUGCUACAGGUAGACAUUGUUGAGCUCCGCCAUGAAGACAGUCCUUUUGAUAACCUUCCUUCUGAUAGCGGCGUGUGGGAGAGUCAUUAACUUGACUGAAGACGAAUCAACGAUCCUUAAAAAUAAUGAGGAGUGGUCCAGAAAUGGGGCUAUGGAAGACAGCGAAGAUUGGUCCAGAAAUGGUGCCAUGGAAGACAACGAAGAUUGGUCAAGAAAUGGUGCCAUGGAAGACAGCGAAGAUUGGUCCAGAAAUGGUGCCAUGGAAGACAGCGAAGAUUGGUCCAGAAAUGGUGCCAUGGAAGACAGCGAAGAUUGGUCCAGAAAUGGUGCGAUGGAAGGCAGCGAAGAUUGGUCAAGAAAUGGUGCCAUGAAAGACAACGUAGAUUGGUCAAGAAAUGGUGCCAUGAAAGACAACGAAGAUUGGUCCAGAAAUGGUGCGAUGGAAGACAGCGAAGAUUGGUCAAGAAAUGGUGCCAUGAAAGACAACGAAGAUUGGUCAAGAAAUAAUGCCAUGGAAGACAGCGAAGAUUGGUCAAGAAAUGGUGCCAUGAAAGACAAAGAAGAUUGGUCAAGAAAUGGUGCCAUGAAAGACAGCGAAGAUUGGUCCAGAAGUGGUGCUAUGGAAGACAGCGAAGAUUGGUCCAGAAAUGGCGCAUAAAGGAUCAUAGUAACGGUGCAUCUUGGAGCCAAAUCGCUGCAUGUUCAGAUUGAUUCAAUAUAAGUUGUAGUUUUA
Molecule: long non-coding RNA, 802 nt
Organism: Bolinopsis microptera
Lineage: Eukaryota; Metazoa; Ctenophora; Tentaculata; Lobata; Bolinopsidae
Exons: 2
Source: RefSeq, a predicted model, not a curated record